This is a non-coding RNA of Streptomyces sp. CNS615, 47 nucleotides long. Lineage: Bacteria; Bacillati; Actinomycetota; Actinomycetes; Kitasatosporales; Streptomycetaceae. The record is from Rfam.
UCGGCCCCGGUUCACGUGCGCGCAUCCCGCGCGUGCGACCCGGCGCC